GACGAACGCUGGCGGCGUGCUUAACACAUGCAAGUCGAACGGAAAGGCCCUGCUUUUGUGGGGUGCUCGAGUGGCGAACGGGUGAGUAACACGUGAGUAGCCUGCCCUUGACUUUGGGAUAACUUCAGGAAACUGGGGCUAAUACCGGAUAGGAGCUCCUGCUGCAUGGUGGGGGUUGGAAAGUUUCGGCGGUUGGGGAUGGACUCGCGGCUUAUCAGCUUGUUGGUGGGGUAGUGGCUUACCAAGGCUUUGACGGGUAGCCGGCCUGAGAGGGUGACCGGCCACAUUGGGACUGAGAUACGGCCCAGACUCCUACGGGAGGCAGCAGUGGGGAAUAUUGCACAAUGGGCGGAAGCCUGAUGCAGCAACGCCGCGUGCGGGAUGACGGCCUUCGGGUUGUAAACCGUUUUCGCCUGUGACGAAGCGUGAGUGACGGUAAUGGGUAAAGAAGCACCGGCUAACUACGUG
This 468-nucleotide ribosomal RNA is filed under the name uncultured bacterium. Its description in RNAcentral is "partial 16S ribosomal RNA". It matches the Rfam family "Bacterial small subunit ribosomal RNA", at positions 28 to 507 of the family's 1533-position model. The record is from RNAcentral.